GAGAUGCUUAAGGACAGUUGGGAGCAACCGUACAGUCAGUAAGAGAUGUUUAAGGGCAGUUGGGAGCCAGCCGUACAGUCAGUAAGAGAUGUUUAAGGGCAGUUGGGAGCAACCGUACAGUCAGUAAGAGAUGUUUAAGGGCAGUUGGGAGCAACCGUACAGUCAGUAAGAGAUGUUUAAUGGCAGUUGGGAGCAACCGUACAGUCAGUAAGAGAUGUUUAAGGGCAGUUGGGAGCAACCGUACAGUCAGUAAGAGAUGUUUAAGGGCAGUUGGGAGCGAGCCGUACAGUCAGUAAGAGAUGUUUAAGGGCAGUUGGGAGCAACCGUACAGUCAGUAAGAGAUGUUUAAGGGCAGUUGGGAGCAACCGUACAGUCAGUAAGAGAUGUUUAAGGACAGUUGGGAGCAACCGUACAGUCAGUAAGAGAUGGUUAAGGACAGUUGGGAGCAACCGUACAGUCAGUAAGAAAUGUUUAAGGACAGUUGGGAGCAACCGUACAGUCAGUAAGAGAUGUUUAAGGACAGUUGGGAGCAACCGUACAGUCAGUAAGAGAUGUUUAAGGACAGUUGGGAGCAACCGUACAGUCAGUAAGAGAUGGUUAAGGGCAGUUUCUUUCCAGCUGCAGUAACCUGAUGCCAGUGGUUGAGUGAAGGCCUCUCAGCUGACCACAGCUGUGCUCUUGCGACUGUUUAAAUCUGCAGCUGCGUUCACUUCCAGCCUAUCAAACCACAUCACAUCAACCCCAUUUAUCACCGGGGCUUCUGGGAAAUCUGACCGCUGCAUUUACAUCCAGAGGACCGGCGAGGCGAGGCCAGAAUCCAGAACCCCGUCCAGUUCCACACUGGUGGUUUGGCAUGUUGGGCCCAUUAACUACUAAUUGCACAUUCUUUGAAUUCGUGGAAACAGUUUUCCAAACAUCGAUGUCUGUGUUUCCAUUUCUGAGGAAUCCGCCUGAAACCUGACAGAUAAUCCAUCACAAUACAGCCGAGACAGUCCACAAACGUUCCCUCAGUGAAAUCCUGUUUGACAGUGAAACAGUGAUGAAGAGUCACCUGACUCCGAUGAGGAGGGAGAUCAGCAUGGAGCAGAUUGGAUCAGCGAUCAUCAGGUCGUAUUUCUGCAUCAGCAGAGCGGAGAUGAUCACACCCACACUGCCCAGAGUGUCAGCGAUGAUGUGCAGCAGGACGCCUAAAACACAGACACACACACACACACACACACACACACACACACACACACACACACACACACACACACACACACACACACACACACACACACACACACACACACACCACACA
Dicentrarchus labrax (European seabass) is the source of this 1300-nucleotide long non-coding RNA. RefSeq lists it as uncharacterized. The transcript has 2 exons. Lineage: Eukaryota; Metazoa; Chordata; Actinopteri; Moronidae. The record is from RefSeq and is a predicted model, not a curated record.